GGUGAACGCUGGCGGCGUGCCUAACACAUGCAAGUCGAGCGGUGCGGCUGGAAGCUUCGGUGGAAGGCUGCAUAGCGGCGGACGGGUGCGUAACACGUAGGAACGUGCCCCCUGGAGGCGGAUAGCCGUGGGAAACUGCGGGUAAACCGCCGUAGACUCGGGAGAGUAAAGGCCGAAAGGCGCCAGGGGAGCGGCCUGCGGCCCAUCAGGUAGUUGGUAGGGUAACGGCCUACCAAGCCGACGACGGGUAGCCGGUCUGAGAGGAUGGCCGGCCACAAGGGCACUGAGACACGGGCCCUACUCCUACGGGAGGCAGCAGUGGGGGAUUUUGGACAAUGGGCGAAAGCCUGAUCCAGCGACGCCGCGUGGAGGACGAAGCCCUUCGGGGUGUAAACUCCUUUUCUCAGGGAAAAAAGCUGAUGGUACCUGAGGAAUAAGCCCCGGCUAACUACGUGCCAGCAGCCGCGGUAAUACGUAGGGGGCGAGCGUUACCCGGAAUUACUGGGCGUAAAGGGUGCGUAGGCGGCCGUGUGUGUCUGGCGUUAAAAUCCACGGCUCAACUGUGGGUAUGCGCUGGAAACUGCACGGCUUGGGUGCAGCAGAGGCAGACGGAACUGCUGGUGUAGGGGUGAAAUCCGUAGAUAUCAGCAGGAACGCCGGUGGAGAAGUCGGUCUGCUGGGCUGUAACCGACGCUGAGGCACGAAAGCUAGGGGAGCAAACCGGAUUAGAUACCCGGGUAGUCCUAGCCGUAAACGAUGCUCACUUGGUGUGGGGGCGAAGGUCUCCGUGCUGAAGCUAACGCGUUAAGUGAGCCGCCUGGGGAGUAUGCCCGCAAGGGUGA
Molecule: ribosomal RNA, 842 nt
Filed under: uncultured bacterium
Lineage: Bacteria
Description: bacterial SSU rRNA
Rfam family: Bacterial small subunit ribosomal RNA
Source: RNAcentral